AAAAAAGGUAAGCUACUAAGAGCGAAUGGUGGAUGCCUUGACUGGUAAAGGCGAUGAAGGACGUACUAGACUGCGAUAAGCUACGGGGAGCUGUCAAGAAGCUUUGAUCCGUAGAUUUCCGAAUGGGGCAACCCAAUGUAUAGAGAUAUACAUUACCUAUAUAGGAGCGAACGAGGGGAAUUGAAACAUCUUAGUACCCUCAGGAAAAGAAAUCAAUAGAGAUUGCGUCAGUAGCGGCGAGCGAAAGCGCAAGAGGGCAAACCCAGUGCUUGCACUGGGGGUUGUAGGACUGCAAUGUGCAAGAGGUGAGUUUAGCAGAACAUUCUGGAAAGUAUAGCCAUAGAGGGUGAUAGUCCCGUAUGCGAAAAACAAACCUUAGCUAGCAGUAUCCUGAGUAGGGCGGGACACGAGAAAUCCUGUCUGAAGCUGGGUCGACCACGAUCCAACCCUAAAUACUAAUACCAGAUCGAUAGUGCACAAGUACCGUGAGGGAAAGGUGAAAAGAACUGAGGUGAUCAGAGUGAAAUAGAACCUGAAACCAUUUGCUUACAAUCAUUCAGAGCCCUAUGUAGCAAUACAGGGUGAUGGACUGCCUUUUGCAUAAUGAGCCUGCGAGUUGUGGUGUCUGGCAAGGUUAAGCAAACGCGAAGCCGUAGCGAAAGCGAGUCUGAAUAGGGCGCUUAGUCAGAUGCUGCAGACCCGAAACGAAGUGAUCUAUCCAUGAGCAAGUUGAAGCUAGUGUAAGAACUAGUGGAGGACUGAACCCAUAGGCGUUGAAAAGCCCCGGGAUGACUUGUGGAUAGGGGUGAAAGGCCAAUCAAACUUCGUGAUAGCUGGUUCUCUCCGAAAUAUAUUUAGGUAUAGCGUUGUGUCGUAAUAUAAGGGGGUAGAGCACUGAAUGGGCUAGGGCAUACACCAAUGUACCAAACCCUAUCAAACUCCGAAUACCUUAUAUGUAAUCACAGCAGUCAGGCGGCGAGUGAUAAAAUCCGUCGUCAAGAGGGAAACAACCCAGACUACCAGCUAAGGUCCCUAAAUCUUACUUAAGUGGAAAACGAUGUGAAGUUACUUAAACAACCAGGAGGUUGGCUUAGAAGCAGCCAUCCUUUAAAGAAAGCGUAAUAGCUCACUGGUCUAGUGAUUUUGCGCGGAAAAUAUAACGGGGCUAAAGUAAGUACCGAAGCUGUAGACUUGCGCACAACUUAGAUUAUUUAAGUUUAGAAUAUGAGAAACUAAGUUAUAUGUUUAGUUAUAUUUUUACUGAUUUUUAUAGAGUAAAGAUAGAAAUAAAACUUAGUAAAAUCAGUAAAAAUAUUCUUAGACUAAAGUUAAGUAGUUUAAGUUGUGUGCAAGUGGUAGGAGAGCGUUCUAUUUGCGCCGAAGGUAUACCGGUAAGGAGUGCUGGAGCGAAUAGAAGUGAGCAUGCAGGCAUGAGUAGCGAUAAUUAAUGUGAGAAUCAUUAACGCCGUAAACCCAAGGUUUCCUACGCGAUGCUCGUCAUCGUAGGGUUAGUCGGGUCCUAAGUCGAGUCCGAAAGGGGUAGACGAUGGCAAAUUGGUUAAUAUUCCAAUACCAACAUUAGUGUGCGAUGGAAGGACGCUUAGGGCUAAGGGGGCUAGCGGAUGGAAGUGCUAGUCUAAGGUCGUAGGAGGUUAUACAGGCAAAUCCGUAUAACAAUACUCCGAGAACUGAAAGGCUUUUUGAAGUCUUCGGAUGGAUAGAAGAACCCCUGAUGCCGUCGAGCCAAGAAAAGUUUCUAAGUUUAGCUAAUGUUGCCCGUACCGUAAACCGACACAGGUGGGUGGGAUGAGUAUUCUAAGGCGCGUGGAAGAACUCUCUUUAAGGAACUCUGCAAAAUAGCACCGUA
Molecule: ribosomal RNA, 1867 nt
Filed under: Campylobacter coli
Lineage: Bacteria; Pseudomonadati; Campylobacterota; Epsilonproteobacteria; Campylobacterales; Campylobacteraceae
Description: partial 23S ribosomal RNA
Rfam family: Bacterial large subunit ribosomal RNA
Source: RNAcentral